GACGAGGGGUCCUAGCGUUGUUCGGAAUCAUUGGGCGUAAAGCGUGUGUAGGCUGCCAAAAAAGUCAGUUGUGAAAUCCCCGGGCUUAACCCGGGAAGCGCUUCUGAUACUGUUUGGCUUGAGUACUGGAGAGGAUAGUGGAAUUCCUGGUGUAGUGGUGAAAUACGUAGAUAUCAGGAGGAACACCGGUGGCGAAGGCGGCUAUCUGGCCAUGUACUGACGCUGAGACACGAAAGCGUGGGGAGCAAACAGG
This 253-nucleotide ribosomal RNA is filed under the name uncultured bacterium. RNAcentral's name for it is "partial 16S ribosomal RNA". It matches the Rfam family "Bacterial small subunit ribosomal RNA", at positions 524 to 776 of the family's 1533-position model. The record is from RNAcentral.